ACAGAGGUGGCAAGCGUUAUUCGGAAUUAUUGGGUGUAAAGGGCAGGUAGGCGGCCUAUUAAGUGAGGGGUGAAAUCCCACGGUUCAAUCGUGGAACAGCCUUUCAAACUGACGGGCUUGAGUGUGACAGGGGUAGAUGGAAUUCUCGGUGGAAGGGUGUAAUCUGUAGAUAUCGGGAAGAACACCAACGGCGAAGGCAAUCUUCUGGUUCACUACUGACGCUGAGCUGCGUAAGCUAGGGGAGCAAAAAG
RNAcentral lists this ribosomal RNA (251 nucleotides) under uncultured prokaryote. RNAcentral describes it as "partial 16S rRNA". It matches the Rfam family "Bacterial small subunit ribosomal RNA", at positions 525 to 775 of the family's 1533-position model. The record is from RNAcentral.